AAAUAUUAACAUAAAAAAAGAUCUUCAAAACAAUUGUAAAAAUAAGUAAUUAAGAAUAAAAGUUAUAAACUAAAAGGAUUUAAUUAAAAUUAAACUAAAACAAGGGGAAAAUUAGGAAAUAAAAAAAAUAAUGACGACAGGGACUAAUAUGCCAUGCGCGCAAAUGUAAAGGGACUAAAACUGGCAAUAUGCUAGGACCCAAUGUGCUGCGUUUAGGUGCGGAUCCAAUUGCAAAUAAGCGCAAAUUACAGGGCGAAUUAAAAAAACAAAAGAAAUACAAAAUAGCUAAUUGAGAUGCAGCGCAAAAGAAGAGGGACCUAGUGCGUAAAUACCCCAAAAGCAAUGAAAACGCACGGAUCUUCCCCGGGUCGGGUCACGCACGCGGGUCAUAUGCUUAAACAGUGCCGUUUUGGCCACUAAAAUUUGGGCUCCAAACGGCAUCGUAUAGGUCCAAAAUAAAGCCGAAAUUUUGGUUUUAAAAAACAUUUUGAUGCCAGGUUUUUUUUUAAAUAAGAGGACAGUCCUCUGUUUUAUUUUUUAGCAUGGCCUUAGGGUUUGGAGAACACAGCGGCUGGCCACCAUUGCUGAUGGAGGUGACCACCGCAGACGGCGACUGGAGGGACGUCCGGAGCCUAAACUAGGUCCCCACCUCGCGCAGAAGGCGAUUUAAAGCCACGAAAUCCCCUAAACGAAACCCAAAACCAUGAAGACAACCAUAAAACAAUCGACGCUUGGCCUCCUCUGAUACGAGCACGCCUCACGAACUUUAUCGAACAAGUCUGUCAAGCCGAGCAAUGACAUGUUGGCAAGCUGAUCCAAGCUCGUUUCCAGCUCCACGAGCUCCGUCCAGCUCAAAUCCAGCUUAUUCGAGCUCAAUCCAUCUUGCCUGAGCUAAACCGAGCUCACUCCUAGCUCACUUUCAACUCACGAGCUAAAUUUUAGCUCUACUUCAGCUUAGAAGUUUAGCCUCAGCUCAGCUUAGGAGUUUAGCCUCAGCUCAGCUUAAGAGUUUAGCCUCAGCUUAGACACGAACGACUCUCUCGAACUACGAUCGGGCAACUACGUGAAUUCGACUCAUCUACUCGGGCCGGAUCACAUCAUCCUCUGUCAUCAUCUUAACCGGAUCCCUAGGGAUCUGUCAGUUUUUGGACCGAAGAAGCAGACAUUGACGUUGGGAUUCGGGUAAAACUUCUCCUUUCUUUUUUAUAUUUUUGUGAUAGAUUUCAAAAAUAAAAAGAUAAAGAAAAAUGGAAACAUAAAAAUGAAAAAAAAAGAACCACCUUUGAAGAAAUUUCAUUCUAUGUAUUCGAUUGCUAUUGUGUGAGUAUAUUGCCUCUGUUUUUGUGUAUGUAAUAUGCGUGUGUUCGUAACCCUUACAAAGGUUAAAAACUAUGGCUUUAUAGCCGAAAAGAAAGAAGGAAAAUCAAUAAAAAAAUAUACAACAUUUUCUUUGUUUGUAUUUGCUGCUGUGUUUGCCUUGUCUGUUUGCAGGUACGGAGUACGCGUUGGCGUGUGUACGGGAGCCGUGCUGGCGCACGGAGGCGCUGGCGUGGCUGCUGGAGCGUACGGAGGUGGUGGCGCACAUGGGGAGCUGAGCGGUGCUUAGAGUUUUCCCCCUCUCAUUUGGCCGAAAAAUGUUUAGGAUAGUUGGGCUAGUUGGGCUUUAGGGCAUUGGGCCUAUUGUAUUUGGGCCAGAUUUGUAAAUGGACAUUUACUUAAUUAUUAGGUUUUUAUUAUUCGGUUUGUGGUUUGUUUGUAAUGGGCCGGCUACAAGUUUCAUUCUUCAUUGGUAAAUUAUGAUUGAGAGAGUGAAAAAUCUUCACUUUGAAUAUUUUUUUCUUAUGUUGAGAGCAAUUCUUUGUUGAUAAAUUUGAUGCGUUGUUAUGGUUAUUUUAUGGCACUUUUUUA
Molecule: long non-coding RNA, 1908 nt
Filed under: Gossypium barbadense (sea-island cotton)
Lineage: Eukaryota; Viridiplantae; Streptophyta; Magnoliopsida; Malvales; Malvaceae
Description: long non-coding RNA (GBAR_LNC003651)
Source: RNAcentral